RNAcentral lists this long non-coding RNA (398 nucleotides) under Crocodylus porosus (Australian saltwater crocodile). RNAcentral's name for it is "lncRNA (ENSCPRG00005010260.1)". Lineage: Eukaryota; Metazoa; Chordata; Crocodylia; Crocodylidae. The record is from RNAcentral.
UUCCGUAAUGGACAAGGCACAGGACAUUCUCUAAAUGAUUGCUUUCUUGAUUCCAGCAAACUUGAUAUCAAAUAACUGUUUUUAUCAUAGAGAGAAAUCAUCAACAUGCAGUAACAAUCCUUCUGAUUUGACAAGUGCUUCAGCUGUUGUUGCAGGAAAACAAGUAUGUAAAAUUAUACCUGAGAAAGAAAAAACUCCAGAUGUAACACUUCACACUUUCUGUUUCUUACCUCCAAAAUCAAAGAGGAAGCUUGAUGCUCAAAUUGCUAAACCCAAAAACUUGAAAUGCAAGAAAAAGGUAAAAUUCAGUGAGCAGGUAAAAGGGGGGAUGUUUUUGUCCUAUCAUCUUGAAUCUGCUGUGGAACACAUCAAAACUGAAGCUGUGAGAUUGACAGAAG